AUUGAACGCUGGCGGCAGGCCUAACACAUGCAAGUCGAACGAGUGGCGGACGGGUGAGUAAUGUCUGGGAAACUGCCCGAUGGAGGGGGAUAACUACUGGAAACGGUAGCUAAUAACGCAUACCAUCAGAUGUGCCCAGAUGGGAUUAGCUAGUAGGUGGGGUCACGGCUCACCUAGGCGAAGAUCCCUAGCUGGUCUGAGGGGAUGACCAGCCACACUGGACCUGAGACACGGUCCAGACUCCUACGGGAGGCAGCAGUGGGGAAUAUUGCACAAGGGGGGCAAGCCUGAUGCAGCCAGGCCGCGUGUAUGAAGAAGGCCUUCGGGUUGUAAAGUACUUUCAGCGAGGAGGCGUUACUCGCAGAAGAAGCACCGGCUAACUCCGUGCCAGCAGCCGCGGUAAUAC
RNAcentral lists this ribosomal RNA (406 nucleotides) under uncultured bacterium. RNAcentral describes it as "partial 16S ribosomal RNA". It matches the Rfam family "Bacterial small subunit ribosomal RNA", at positions 30 to 526 of the family's 1533-position model. The record is from RNAcentral.